This 301-nucleotide ribosomal RNA is filed under the name uncultured eukaryote. RNAcentral describes it as "SSU rRNA". It matches the Rfam family "Eukaryotic small subunit ribosomal RNA", at positions 4 to 306 of the family's 1831-position model. The record is from RNAcentral.
CUGGUUGAUCCUGCCAGUAGUCAUAUGCUUGUCUCAAAGAUUAAGCCAUGCAUGUCUAAGUACAAGCCUCAGUAAGGUGAAACCGCGAAUGGCUCAUUAAAUCACACCUAAUCUACUGGAAAGUUACAAGUUACUUGGAUAACUGAGGUAAUUCUUGAGCUAAUACAUGCGAAAAAUCUCGACUCACGGAGAGAUGCUUUUAUUAGAUCAAAACCAAACGGCUUCGGCCGUAACAUUGGUGACUCUGAAUAACUUUGGGCUGAUCGUAUGGCCUUGUGCCGACGACGGUUCCUUCGAAGGU